Molecule: ribosomal RNA, 370 nt
Filed under: uncultured organism
Description: partial 16S ribosomal RNA
Rfam family: Bacterial small subunit ribosomal RNA
Source: RNAcentral
GUAGGUGGCAAGCGUUGUCCGGAAUUAUUGGGCGUAAAGCGCGCGCAGGCGGUUCUUUAAGUCUGAUGUGAAAGCCCACGGCUCAACCGUGGAGGGUCAUUGGAAACUGGAGAACUUGAGUACAGAAGAGGAAAGCGGAAUUCCACGUGUAGCGGUGAAAUGCGUAGAGAUGUGGAGGAACACCAGUGGCGAAGGCGGCUUUCUGGUCUGUAACUGACGCUGAGGCGCGAAAGCGUGGGGAGCAAACAGGAUUAGAUACCCUGGUAGUCCACGCCGUAAGCGAUGAGUGCUAAGUGUUAGGGGGUUUCCGCCCCUUAGUGCUGCAGCUAACGCAUUAGGCACUCCGCCUGGGAGUACGGCCGCAAGGCUG